AUGAACGCUAGCUACAGGCUUAACACCUGCAAGUCGAGGGGAAACGGCAUCGAAAGCUUGCUUUUGAUGGGCGUCGACCGGCGCACGGGUGAGUAACGCGUAUCCAACCUGCCCAUCACUUGGGAAUAACCUUGCGAAAGUAAGACUAAUGCCCAAUGACAUCCCACGAAGGCAUCCGAAUGGGAUUAAAGAUUUAUCGGUGAUGGAUGGGGAUGCGUCUGAUUAGCUUGUUGGCGGGGUGACGGCCCACCAAGGCAACGAUCAGUAGGGGUUCUGAGAGGAAGGUCCCCCACAUUGGAACUGAGACACGGUCCAAACUCCUACGGGAGGCAGCAGUGAGGAAUAUUGGUCAAUGGGCGAGAGCCUGAACCAGCCAAGUAGCGUGCAGGAUGACGGCCCUAUGGGUUGUAAACUGCUUUUAUAAGGGAAUAAAGUGGGUCACGUGUGACUUUUUGCAUGUACCUUAUGAAUAAGGACCGGCUAAUUCCGUG
Molecule: ribosomal RNA, 491 nt
Filed under: uncultured bacterium
Lineage: Bacteria
Description: partial 16S ribosomal RNA
Rfam family: Bacterial small subunit ribosomal RNA
Source: RNAcentral